UUAAACUUUGAUUGAGUAUUUCGUUCAGACACAGCCUUGAUAAGGGUGGUUCAGUGAUUAGCAUUGUUCCCUCGCACCAUCAGUGUUGGGGUUUUGAAAUCUACCUCUGAUCCUGGUCUCUGUAUGGAGUUCUUCCAGUAUCAUGCAGGUUCCCUCCAGGUACUCAUCUCCUCCUGCAAUCCAAAGGCAUGCAGUGCCAUCUUGUGGAAGAGACCACUCCCAGCAAAAGUCGUUUUCAGACAACAUUUACGCCCUGCCAACUUGAAGCUUGAAUAAAGGAAAUCACCCAAUUCCCACCAUGAAUGUGUCGAUGAAGUAUUUGGGCUGAACAACUCUGUUUUCCAAGGAAUAUAGAGUACCUCUGUUUAGGAACCAGAAGGUAUGGCUCCUGCAGAAGGUAUAUCUCUUAAAAAGCUUAACUCUCCUGGAAGUCAAGGACCCUUUCC
Paramormyrops kingsleyae is the source of this 446-nucleotide long non-coding RNA. RefSeq lists it as uncharacterized. Lineage: Eukaryota; Metazoa; Chordata; Actinopteri; Osteoglossiformes; Mormyridae. The record is from RefSeq and is a predicted model, not a curated record.